This is a long non-coding RNA of Bos taurus (domestic cattle), 1524 nucleotides long. NCBI's taxonomy places the organism in Eukaryota, Metazoa, Chordata, Mammalia, Artiodactyla, Bovidae. The record is from Ensembl.
GGGGACGGGGCACUCCGAGGCGAGACCACCUCGGCCCAGCCCAGGCCCUGUCGCCGCCCCACAGCCCCGAGGGAGAGACUCAACUCCACCGUGGCGGGGUACCAGACGCUCAGAACAGCUGGCCACCUGUCGGGGGUCACCCACCCGAGAAGGGCUAACAGUGCCGCCGACCCCAGACCCUCCUCUCAGACACAACGUUCAGGGCUGGACUCACCUGGCUGGUCCGCAGGUCCCCUCGGAAAGGUAGCACUGGUGGAACGCCAGCUCUGAAGCUCCCAACAAGCCACCACCCUGCUCGGUGCCUCAGUUUCUCCCGGGUACCCGGGGCGGAGUCAGCAAACGCUGCGCACGCACGCGUGGGCACGUACACGUGGGCCCGGACGCACCGCCUCUGCUAUUUGACGGACAUGAAGGAACCCAGCGCCACGCGCAUGCGUAAGGCAUCCUCCGGGGUCGGGGGCGGGUUGCCCAGUAUCUGUGCGUGACAGCCAGAGGUCCCCCCGCCCCCCAUUUUAUUAUCCAGCCCUGUCCCUCUGUCCUUACUGAACCUCAAGGCCUCCGGACCUCAAGGCUUGAUGAGAGGCAGGGGCCCUGCUCCUCUGGACCCGCACGUGCCCACCCAGCGCUGACCCCACGUGAUAGAGGAGAGACCGAGAGGUUGAGUGAGGAGCCUCAGAAAAGGCUCGUAAAUGCUAUAAUCAGCGUUAUUUGCUGCAGGUUUGCGUUUGCAGGACCCUCGGCCCCUGGCGGAGCCGGGAGAAGGAGAGGUGGGCGUGCGGAGGAACCGGUCGCAUUACUUGGUAGCUGAGUGGAUCCAUAUCAAGGGGCCUGAGUGGACAGUGAGGACCACAGUGUAGGGACCGGGUCCCCCUUCCCAUGCUCUACGCGACUGCUGUCCCCUGAGUGCUGAGCAGAGGAGAAGCUGUAAACCAAGAGGCCCAGCCCGCAGUGGAAGAUGAAGUGCUGAUGAAUGAGAGCAGGAAGGCAGAUGGUUUACUGUGUGAGCCAUCAGGGAAACCCUCUGGCCUCCAGAACUGCAGGAAAAGAAAUUUCUGUUGUCAUGCGGCGGUACUCUGUCUCUGCCACAGAAGCCAACCAAGGAGCGCUCCCGGCUCAUCGGGGCUGUCAACCACCUCUCCUGACGGACUGGCACCUCCACCAGGGCAGCGGGUGGUGCUCCGUGCCAGAGUGGCCCACAUACAGCACAUGUGCAACGAAGACCUGCUGAACGCUGGGAGGCAGGCCUCUCCUAGCCCCACCUCCCCAUCUUCCAAAACUCAGAGCACAAGGGGCUUGGGAGGCAGGACCCGGCCUCCAGGAGCUGCCCAGGUUCAGGAGGUGGCCCCGCAGCACGGCCUGCCUGCCUGCCAUGCAUGGGCUUGCUGCCUGCCUCCCACAUCCUGGGCUUCUAGACAGCACCUGUGUUCAUUCCCCUCUUUCCUCAUUUGUUUUUCAAUGACUCUUCCGGAGGCUCUGCUGUAGGUCGAACGCGGUCCCCCCCACUCAAAUUCAUCUGUUAAAUCC